UGGUGGAUGAAGGGGGCGCAUACAAAAGACCAUAAACCUGUGGCAGCAGCUGGAGACCGAGACCGGUGAUUAAUUCAGGUCUGCGCGCUGAGUGAAAGAAGUUACUGUUCUCAUUAAUACCCUCAGUUCAUCUUCUUUGUCCUGCGGCUUCCGUCUCCACUUUAUCCUGUUUUCCGUGGACUGGAGUCCCGUCAGUGCGCAGCUGUUGUUGGCACUCCCACAUCUGCUUCUUUCAGCUCGGCAGCCAUAUAGAGAGGACGCCCAGCCGCGGUUCAUGUUACUGCGCUGCGACUCGGUCCAACCAGCCUUUCAGUACAAGCGCAAUCACUGCGCGCACACACACGACGCCCGUUUUGCCGGCUGAUCAGCACGGCAGAAGACGGAGAAAGGAAAAAGACGAAGAAGCAGCGAUCUUUUCGUAUCGUUUGGUGACAGGUGCAUGUGGAACCCGGAGAACACUGGUACCCCUGUGGAUUCAUCUACAGCGCUGCAGACGCAGACACAGGAGGCUGGGAGGAUCCAGAAGGGAACCAACAACAGGACAGGUUAUGUGUACAGACCGGAUUGUCUUUAUUAAAAUCUCGAGGGAGGUUAAUUUUCAGGUCACAUGGAAAAUUUAAUAGCCUUACCCAGUCAUUUAGAUAACUGAUAUUAAUGACGCCUAUCUUGAGUGACUCAUCUUUUCACAGUGGGGGUAUUUCAGUCCAACUUGUCUCAGCAGUAAAAGCAGUAAAAAAGAAACAAAAAAAAGAUGAAAGAACAGCCAAUACCUGGGGGAUCUUGUGAGGACAGUUGGGUUGCGUCCCACUUUUUCUGCUGCUUUGUGUUGUGUGCUCCUCUCCAGUUACAUGGAUGGAAAAAGCAGAUUGGGGGGGCUUGACAGGACCUCAUUGUACUCCCAGUGGCUUCGCUCCAUUGCCCUCUGCUGCGCUGCAUAUGGACUGUGACUGCUGCAUGGUGCCAUUUCCACUGUCCCGUACCUUCAGAAGAGAGGAUCCGUGUUCCAGUGUUUUCCUACUAAGACAUGACUUCUGCUGCUUUUGCAAAUCAGUGAAAAGAGUUAAAAUUUUAGUUGUUGCUUCAUAGUCAUCAUCAUCGUGCUAAGUUUUAGCAGGGCGCUAUUUUACAGGUGGCGUUCAGAAUAAUUUGCUGCACUGUUUUUUUUGUUGUUGUUUUCCUCUCAAAUGCAUUUUCCCUGUAAGUAAUAAGCUCAUCCUCUCCCUGAUCAAAAACACUGAUUCUGUAGCCAUCGACCUUCACUCAUGCUUGUUUCCUUUAGCUGCAGUGUGCAGUGACCUCUUUGUUGGUCUUUCUAGCAGUCUGAAGGUUUCUCCCUGUAUAAGACACUUCACUACAAGGCUUCCCUUUGUGUCUCUUCAUAGCUGGAAUACAUCUAUGACAGAUUCAUUCUAUUGCAAAGCUCUGAUAUUUUAAGAAAAAGCUGCUAAAGUGUGUGAAAAUGACAAGUUUCCUCACAUCACAGCAACAGUGUGCCAUUCACACAGUGUGUUUUUGUUUGUGUGGAAGCCUCUAAAGUGGAAUCUCGUGUGCGCGCGCGUGUGUUAAGGGGUGUCUACGUGAGUGCAUGUGUUUCUUUGCAUGUACCCUACAUGUAUGUCUGCAUGUGUCUCAUCUCAGUCUAACAAAAUGUAUUUGUAAUGGGCCUGAAGCUGUAAGCUGCUUUAAGGUGCUUUUUUCCCCACAGCUGCACACUCAGUAAUAGGUCUAUAUUCUUUUAGCCACUGGAUGUACCAGAUAAGGGAUAAAACAACAUUUACAAAUGGUUUUUAGCAUUUGUUACAACCUCAUUGAAGUACCAGUUACUAUAGUGAUUUAGAUCACAAGGAUGCCAUUGGAAAUUAAUGGUCUGUAGUUUUCUAAAUGAUGCCCGCUGGCAUUAAUUAAGCCAUCCUGAUGCCUGCGGUCCUAUCAUUUCACACUGAAGCCAAUUACAGCAAAUGCUAAUAAUUAUGUGUAAAUAGAUUUUUACCCACAUCUGGGUUGUACUAACAGUAUCUCACUAAUAUCUAACAGUACUAAUAUAUGUGCUAACAGCUGGAGGAUUACUAACCUGUACUGAGAAUGCUGUUGGCUGGCAUUUCUAACCCUGACUUCACUAACCCUCUGCUUUCUGCCCGCAGUCUGAUGUGCAUACUCCCUUUGCAUGAUCUUGCAUCCCUUCUUUUAGAUAUUUAGGUAAAUCAUUAAAAUUAGUGAAAAAAGGCGCACCAAGCAUGUCAAGAAGGGUUUUGGGACUCAAGAAGGGAAAAUAAAAAUGAUUAAGGUCAAGGUGAAGAGAAGAGCAGGAACAGCUGCUGAUAUUAAACUGGGUUGACCACACACUCGAGAACAAUUAUUACAAAAGCGAUUGCGAUCUGAUUCCAAGCUCGCACACGUCGCAGGUUAAAUUCACAUCUUUCGAGAUCAGUCUUUAUGUCUGCAUGUGCUCUGUGUGGUCAACCUGCAGGUGAGUGUCUGGCUUGAUGUCGCCGCAGACAGUACUAUCAGACAGAAGCCAAGCAAGCCUCGGCUCCAGUGCUAACUCCUUAUUGGUGCUACUAACUAACAGUGGUGAGGCUGUAAUAGUGUGUGCUUUUUUUUUUUUUUUUUAAGCACAGGACAGACCUACUACCAGCGACUGUCAGUCACCCUUGUAAAGAAGCAAGAGAGUUUUGUCUCCUAAAUUAACAGUCACUAACCCAAAGAAGAGCUUUGAAUAGCUCUCUUCAAACUAACAAACUAACCUACUAAUGAACACAUAACCAAACAAAAACUAACCACAAUCAGUAACUUUGGUCUUAGUGGCGGAAUCGUUGAAGUGCCCCAAAAUCGAGGCGCUGCAUCACUUACUGGAUGUACUAACAGAAUGAAGUUCAACAACGUGCUUGAAUGUGUGAGAGGGAGAGAUGAGUGUGUGUGUGUGUGUUCAUACGGGGGGGGGGGUGUAUUUGUGUGGAAAUGUAAGCAAGUUGCAAACUGGCUGUGAGCACUGGAAUUUGUGAUCAUAUUCAAUAAUUUAGCAUGCCAGUGCAGAUCUAUCUCCGAAUACUCUUGCAGCCUAGGUGAGCACCAGGAUAUAAAUAUUAUAAUCCUCGAACCUCUCAAUUUAUAUACUGUGUGAAAGUCUCACAAAUGUCAAGAAAAUGUCAUUAAAUGUGCUCAGCUAUUUACGUAUUUGAAUGUUAAUUUACGUUAAUUAAUGGUUACAUUGAUAUAAAUCAUGUUUUGAAAAAAAAACAGGCAAAAUAUUGGAACAACAGAAGGUGUAGCAACACGGUGUCUAAGAAGAUGUGUUAAUAAAUAAAAAACAUAGCUUGAUAGUUAUUGUAUUGUUUAUGAGCAGCAAAAUUAUAAAUUAAUAAUGUUUACUGUUUGGUUAAUGAACAUUUUCAGAAUGUUUUUUGUAAAAUUGCAACUUCUGUCUCUAAAACUGUUUAUAUAUAUAUAUAGUUAAUAAAUAUAUUGCCGGGGAUCUGUCACAAGGCCUGUGCACCCGGAGCCCGUGUUUCCUGUCCUGUUUAGUCCUGUUUUCACUCGCUGUGCAAGCAACAAACCUCUCACAAGAUUAACAGCGCACGCUGAAAGAUGACACUCAAAGUUACACAGUCCUUUAAAAUGUGAAGGCAAGAGGUCCACGUGAGGGGUGAGAGCAGUCUCACUGAUGCUGCAGCAGGUGGGCCACGCCACCAGCAGACAUGACCGAAUGUGGACAAACUCAGUGAUCAGUAAUUAAAUACACGCAACACUAUAACAUCAGAAUAUUAUUGGUAUUGUCUCAACAGCUAUAAUGCAAUAUGUGAUAUAAUGUAUAACUCAUAAGUUACACAAUCUAGUGGCAAAAUAAUGUAAACAACCAGCAUUACUG
Archocentrus centrarchus (flier cichlid) is the source of this 3865-nucleotide long non-coding RNA. RefSeq lists it as uncharacterized. The record is from RefSeq and is a predicted model, not a curated record. NCBI's taxonomy places the organism in Eukaryota, Metazoa, Chordata, Actinopteri, Cichliformes, Cichlidae. The transcript has 3 exons.